AGUGAACGCUGGCGGUAGGCCUAACACAUGCAAGUCGAACGGCAGCACAGUAAGAGCUUGCUCUUACGGGUGGCGAGUGGCGGACGGGUGCGGAAUACAUCGGAAUCUACUUUUUCGUGGGGGAUAACGUAGGGAAACUUACGCUAAUACCGCAUACGACCUACGGGUGAAAGCAGGGGAUCUUCGGACCUUGCGCGAUUGAAUGAGCCGAUGUCGGAUUAGCUAGUUGGCGGGGUAAAGGCCCACCAAGGCGACGAUCCGUAGCUGGUCUGAGAGGAUGAUCAGCCACACUGGAACUGAGACACGGUCCAGACUCCUACGGGAGGCAGCAGUGGGGAAUAUUGGACAAUGGGCGCAAGCCUGAUCCAGCCAUACCGCGUGGGUGAAGAAGGCCUUCGGGUUGUAAAGCCCUUUUGUUGGGAAAGAAAAGUAGCAGGUUAAUACCCCGCUGUUCUGACGGUACCCAAAGAAUAAGCACCGGCUAACUUCGUG
Molecule: ribosomal RNA, 492 nt
Filed under: uncultured bacterium
Lineage: Bacteria
Description: partial 16S ribosomal RNA
Rfam family: Bacterial small subunit ribosomal RNA
Source: RNAcentral